GUAGAGUGAUCGAAAGAUGAAAAGCACUUUGAAAAGAGAGUUAAAAAGUACGUGAAAUUGUUGAAAGGGAAGCGUUUAUGACCAGACUUGGACUUGGUUAAUCAUCUGGGGUUCUCCCCAGUGCACUUUUCCAGUUCAGGCCAGCAUCAGUUUUCGCCGGGGGAUAAAGGCUUCGGGAAUGUAGCUCUCUUCGGGGAGUGUUAUAGCCCGUUGUGUAAUACCCUGGUGGAGACUGAGGUUCGCGCUUCUGCAAGGAUGCUGGCGUAAUGGUCAUCAACGACCCGUCUUGAAACACGGACCAAGGAGUCGUCUUCGUAUGCGAGUGUUCGGGUGUCAAACCCCUACGCGUAAUGAAAGUGAACGCAGGUGAGAGCUUCGGCGCAUCAUCGACCGAUCCUGAUGUUCUCGGAUGGAUUUGAGUAAGAGCAUACGGGGCCGGACCCGAAAGAAGGUGAACUAUGCCUGUAUAGGGUGAAGCCAGAGGAAACUCUGGUGGAGGCUCGCAGCGGUUCUGACGUGCAAAUCGAUCGUCAAAUAUGGGCAUGGGGGCGAAAGACUAAUCGAACCUUCUAGUAGCUGGUUUCCGCCGAAGUUUCCCUCAGGAUAGCAGUGUUGAACUCAGUUUUAUGAGGUAAAGCGAAUGAUUAGGGACUCGGGGGCGCUAUAUUGCCUUCAUCCAUUCUCAAACUUUAAAUAUGUAAGAAGCCCUUGUUGCUUAAUUGAACGUGGGCAUUCGAAUGUAUCAACACUAGUGGGCCAUUUUUGGUAAGCAGAACUGGCGAUGCGGGAUGAACCGAACGCGAGGUUAAGGUGCCAGAGUAGACGCUCAUCAGACACCACAAAAGGUGUUAGUACAUCUUGACAGCAGGACGGUGGCCAUGGAAGUCGGAAUCCGCUAAGGACUGUGUAACAACUCACCUGCCGAAUGUACUAGCCCUGAAAAUGGAUGGCGCUCAAGCGUCUCACCCAUACCUCGCCCUCAGGGUAGAAACGAUGCCCUGAGGAGUAGGCGGACGUGGAGGUCAGUGACGAAGCCUAGGGCGGAGCCCGUA
RNAcentral lists this ribosomal RNA (1052 nucleotides) under Fusarium avenaceum. RNAcentral describes it as "partial large subunit ribosomal RNA". It matches the Rfam family "Eukaryotic large subunit ribosomal RNA", at positions 348 to 1427 of the family's 3401-position model. Lineage: Eukaryota; Fungi; Ascomycota; Sordariomycetes; Hypocreales; Nectriaceae. The record is from RNAcentral.